GAUUAACGCUGGCGGCGUGCCUAAUACAUGCAAGUCGAACGGAAGUACCUUCGGGUACUUUAGUGGCGAACGGGUGAGUAAUACAUAGGUAACCUACCCUUAAGACGAGGAUAGCCAUUGGAAACGAUGGAUAAAACUGGAUAGGAUAUAGAGGAAGAAUCUUUUAUAUUUAAAAGAGAGAUCUGCUUAAGGAGGGGCCUGUGGCGCAUUAGCUAGUUGGUGGGGUAAGGGCCUACCAAGGCGAUGAUGCGUAGCCGGACUGAGAGGUUGAACGGCCACAAUGGAACUGAGAACGGUCCAUACUCCUACGGGAGGCAGCAGUAGGGAAUUUUCGGCAAUGGGGGGAACCCUGACCGAGCAACGCCGCGUGAACGAAGAAGUUAUUCGU
Molecule: ribosomal RNA, 388 nt
Filed under: uncultured bacterium
Lineage: Bacteria
Description: bacterial SSU rRNA
Rfam family: Bacterial small subunit ribosomal RNA
Source: RNAcentral